GGUUAAGCGACUAAGCGUACACGGUGGAUGCCCUGGCAGUCAGAGGCGAUGAAGGACGUGCUAAUCUGCGAAAAGCGUCGGUAAGGUGAUAUGAACCGUUAUAGCCGGCGAUGUCCGAAUGGGGAAACCCAGUGCAAUUCGUUGCACUAUCGUUAACUGAAUACAUAGGUUAACGAGGCGAACCGGGGGAACUGAAACAUCUAAGUACCCCGAGGAAAAGAAAUCAACCGAGAUUCCCCAGUAGCGGCGAGCGAACGGGAGCAGCCCGGAGUCUGAAUCAGCUUGUGUGUUAGUGGAAGCGUCUGGAAAGUCGCAGGGUACAGGGUGAUACUCCCGUACACUAAAACACACAGGUUGUGAACUCGAAGAGUAGGGCGGGACACGUGGUAUCCUGUCUGAAUAUGGGGGGACCAUCCUCCAAGGCUAAAUACUCCUGACUGACCGAUAGUGAACCAGUACCGUGAGGGAAAGGCGAAAAGAACCCCGGCGAGGGGAGUGAAAAAAGAACCUGAAACCGUGUACGUACAAGCAGUAGGAGCCCACUAGUUGGGUGACUGCGUACCUUUUGUAUAAUGGGUCAGCGACUUAUAUUCUGUAGCAAGGUUAACCGUAUAGGGGAGCCGCAGGGAAACCGAGUCUUAACUGGGCGUUAAGUUGCAGGGUAUAGACCCGAAACCGGUGAUCUAGCCAUGGGCAGGUUGAAGGUUGGGUAACACUAACUGGAGGACCGAACCGACUAAUGUUGAAAAAUUAGCGGAUGACUUGUGGCUGGGGUGAAAGGCCAAUCAAACCGGGAGAUAGCUGGUUCUCCCCGAAAGCUAUUUAGGUAGCGCCUCGUGAAUUCAUCUUCGGGGGUAGAGCACUGUUUCGGCUAGGGGGUCAUCCCGACUUACCAACCCGAUGCAAACUACGAAUACCGAAGAAUGUUAUCACGGGAGACACACGGCGGGUGCUAACGUCCGUCGUGAAGAGGGAAACAACCCAGACCGCCAGCUAAGGUCCCAAAGUCAUGGUUAAGUGGGAAACGAUGUGGGAAGGCCCAGACAGCCAGGAUGUUGGCUUAGAAGCAGCCAUCAUUUAAAGAAAGCGUAAUAGCUCACUGGUCGAGUCGGCCUGCGCGGAAGAUGUAACGGGCUAAACCAUGCACCGAAGCUGCGGCAGCGACACUAUGUGUUGUUGGGUAGGGAGCGUUCUGUAAGCCGUUGAAGGUAGCCUGUGAGGGUUGCUGGAGGUAUCAGAAGUGCGAAUGCUGACAUAAGUAACGAUAAUGCGGGUGAAAAACCCGCACGCCGGAAGACCAAGGGUUCCUGUCCAACGUUAAUCGGGGCAGGGUGAGUCGACCCCUAAGGCGAGGCCGAAAGGCGUAGUCGAUGGGAAACAGGUUAAUAUUCCUGUACUCGGUGUUACUGCGAAGGGGGGACGGAGAAGGCUAUGUUGGCCGGGCGACGGUUGUCCCGGUUUAAGCAUGUAGGCGGAUGUUCCAGGUAAAUCCGGAACGUCACUAACGCUGAGGUGUGAUGACGAGGCACUACGGUGCUGAAGUGACAAAUGCCCUGCUUCCAGGAAAAGCCUCUAAGCAUCAGGUAACAUCAAAUCGUACCCCAAACCGACACAGGUGGUCAGGUAGAGAAUACCAAGGCGCUUGAGAGAACUCGGGUGAAGGAACUAGGCAAAAUGGUGCCGUAACUUCGGGAGAAGGCACGCUGAUGGUAGGUGAAGUGACUUGCUCAUGGAGCUGAAAUCAGUCGAAGAUACCAGCUGGCUGCAACUGUUUAUUAAAAACACAGCACUGUGCAAACACGAAAGUGGACGUAUACGGUGUGACGCCUGCCCGGUGCCGGAAGGUUAAUUGAUGGGGUUAUCCUCGCGGAGAAGCUCUUGAUCGAAGCCCCGGUAAACGGCGGCCGUAACUAUAACGGUCCUAAGGUAGCGAAAUUCCUUGUCGGGUAAGUUCCGACCUGCACGAAUGGCGUAAUGAUGGCCAGGCUGUCUCCACCCGAGACUCAGUGAAAUUGAACUCGCUGUGAAGAUGCAGUGUACCCGCGGCAAGACGGAAAGACCCCGUGAACCUUUACUAUAGCUUGACACUGAACACUGGUCCUUGAUGUGUAGGAUAGGUGGGAGGCUUUGAAGUGUGGACGCCAGUCUGCAUGGAGCCAUCCUUGAAAUACCACCCUUUAAUGGCUGGUGUUCUAACGUGGGCCCGUGAUCCGGGUUGCGGACAGUGUCUGGUGGGUAGUUUGACUGGGGCGGUCUCCUCCUAAAGAGUAACGGAGGAGCACGAAGGUCAGCUAAUCCUGGUCGGACAUCAGGAGGUUAGUGCAAUGGCAUAAGCUGGCUUGACUGCGAGCGUGACGGCGCGAGCAGGUGCGAAAGCAGGUCAUAGUGAUCCGGUGGUUCUGAAUGGAAGGGCCAUCGCUCAACGGAUAAAAGGUACUCCGGGGAUAACAGGCUGAUACCGCCCAAGAGUUCAUAUCGACGGCGGUGUUUGGCACCUCGAUGUCGGCUCAUCACAUCCUGGGGCUGAAGUAGGUCCCAAGGGUAUGGCUGUUCGCCAUUUAAAGUGGUACGCGAGCUGGGUUUAGAACGUCGUGAGACAGUUCGGUCCCUAUCUGCCGUGGGCGCUGGAGAAUUGAGGGGGGCUGCUCCUAGUACGAGAGGACCGGAGUGGACGCAUCACUGGUGUUCGGGUUGUCAUGCCAAUGGCAUUGCCCGGUAGCUAAAUGCGGAAGAGAUAAGUGCUGAAAGCAUCUAAGCACGAAACUUGCCCCGAGAUGAGUUCUCCCUGACUCCUUGAGAGUCCUGAAGGAACGUUGAAGACGACGACGUUGAUAGGCCGGGUGUGUAAGCGCAGCGAUGCGUUGAGCUAACCGGUACUAAUGAACCGUGAGGCUUAACCUU
RNAcentral lists this ribosomal RNA (2901 nucleotides) under Klebsiella michiganensis. RNAcentral describes it as "23S ribosomal RNA". It matches the Rfam family "Bacterial large subunit ribosomal RNA". Lineage: Bacteria; Pseudomonadati; Pseudomonadota; Gammaproteobacteria; Enterobacterales; Enterobacteriaceae. The record is from RNAcentral.